GGCGCACGUUAGCCUCUCUCUCUCUCUCUCUCUCUCUCUCUCUCUCUCCCCCCCAAUAUAACGCUUUGGAAAGAUAACGCCGACCCCCUUCUCUCUCUCUAACUCCCCGCUCCCUCUCUCUCUCUCUCCUCGCUCUUUCUCUCUCUAAAAAGAGAGACAUUUCCAGGUCUCGAAUUUUACGGUUUUCCUUCAGCUGCUUGACAUAAUUACAUUACAAUUACAACAAUUUGAUUUUCUCUCUCUCCUGUGUCUCAUUCCUCAUCUCUCUCUGCGCUCUGAAGCAGUUGGGAAGAAACUUCCUGGAUAGAUCGAUCCCUAUUUCCCAAUCCAACAUUUUUCUUCUCAAUUUCGAUCCUUUUCGUCUAAUUCUCGAGCAUUCUUUCUGCUCUGUUUCUCUCCCAAUUUUCUGUUUGUUUCCCGAGAAAAAAAAAAUACUGUAGCGGGAAUCGUUUCCAAUUACUCUGUUUGGGGAAACCCAAUUGGGAAUUAGGGUUUAUAGGAGAUUUGGGAAUUGGGUUUUUGAUGAAAUCAAAAGGGUUUUGUGGGUGUUGAUGUUGAAGUGAAAAGAUUUACUCUUUUGGGUUUAUGGGAUUCAUCGAUUCGUGGGGCCUCUGAGUUUUGCAUUUUUUGAUACAAUGAUUAUCAAGAAGAAUCUCAAAUCCCAAAUGCCGAGUCUGAAAAGGUGCAAACUCGGCGAGUCACCGGGUGAGGACGACGAUAACUCGGGCAGGAAGAAGAGGAAGACUAAUGGGUAUUAUCCUCUCAGUCUGCUUGGCGAGGUCGCCGCCAGUAUUAUCCCCGUCAGCCUCCACGGCCUGCUCGGCUCGGUCGGGGCCUCCGAGCCGGGGUUCUCUGCUUCGUGGUGCACCAGAGUCUCCUGCUCCCCUGAGGAUGAGUCGAAAUCGAAGAACAGAGAGUCAGCCACCACAGCGAAGACGGAGGUUUCGCGGCCGCCGCUGGUGAGGACGUCGCGGGGCCGAGUUCAGGUACUUCCUUCUCGGUUUAAUGAUUCGGUAAUUGAGAAUUGGAAGAAAGAAAGUAAGACUAGUUUAAGAGAUUAUAAUGUAGAUGAGGAGAUUGAAUGUAAAAAAGAGAAACCUACCUUUAAAGCCCAGAAAUUAGUUAGCCAAAAUACGAAAAAGAUGCGAAAUGUGGAUGGAAUUGGAUAUAACAGUAAGAAGUAUUCGGCUUUGUGUGAAGAAGAUGAAGAGGAGGAAGUUGAGGGGAGUGUGCCAUUUAAGAGUUUCGACAAUAGGAAGUAUUCGAGCUCACCAAGCACACUCUCGUCAAUGCAUGCGCAAUUGGGUGAAGAUGACAAGUGUGCAGUUGUGGAAAUAGAUGAAGGAAAUGGUUUAGUGGAGACAGUGAGGGCUGCAAAGGAGAAUGGUGAGAGGAAAGAUGGCUUGUAUGGACCCGAAGACUUCUAUUCAGGCGAUAUAGUGUGGGCAAUGCCAGGGAAAAAGGAGCCUUUCUGGCCUGCCAUUGUCAUUGAUCCAAUGUCGCAAGCGCCUGAGCUUGUUUUGAGGUCUUGCAUACCCGAUGCAGCUUGUGUGAUGUUCUUUGGAUACUCUGGGAAUGGGAAUCAACGGGAUUAUGCUUGGGUUGAACGUGGGAAGAUUUUUCCCUUUAUGGACUAUGUGGACAGGUUCCAGGAGCAGCCUGAAUUGAACAACUGCGAGCCCUGUGAAUUCCAGUUGGCAAUUGAGGAGGCAUUUUUGGUGGAACAAGGGUUUACAGAAAAGUUGAUAGCGGAUAUAAAUAUGGCAGCAAUGUAUGAUGACUCUGUACGGAGAGGGGUUCAAGAGGCUACCGGUUCAAACCAUGACCUGGACCAGGAUGUAUAUGGGAAGAAGAAAGACAUACGACCCUGUGAAGGCUGCGGCUUGUAUUUUCCUUUUAAAAUGAUAAAGAAAAUGAAGGAUCCAAGUCCCAGAGGCCAAUAUCUUUGUAAAUCGUGUGCUAGGUUAGUAAAAUCGAAACAUUAUUGUGGGAUAUGCAAGAAGAUUUGGAAUGAUUCAGACAGUGGAAGUUGGGUCCGAUGUGAUGGUUGUAAAGUGUGGGUGCAUGCAGAAUGUGACAAAAUUUCCAGCAACGUUUUUAAGAACUUGGGAGCCACUGAUUACUACUGCCCUACGUGCAAAGUCAAGUUUAAUUUUGAAUUAUCAGAUUCUGAAAGGGGGCAACCAAAUGCAAAAUGGAGUAAAAAUAAUGGUCAAUUGGUGCUGCCUAACAAGGUUACUGUUCUCUGCAACUGCGUGGAAGGCAUUUAUUUUCCAAGUCUUCACUCUGUCGUGUGCAAUUGUGGAUUCUGUGGGGCAGAAAAGCAAGCACUUAGUGAAUGGGAGCGACACACAGGUUCCAAAUCGAGAAAUUGGAGGACUAGUGUCAGAGUGAAAGGUUCCUUACUGCCACUGGAACAAUGGAUGUUGCAGUUAGCAGAGUAUCAUGAAAAUGCUCUUGUGUCUUCUAAACCCCCUAAACGGCCUUCUAUUAAAGAACGAAAGCAGAAGUUGCUUACUUUUUUGCAAGAAAAGUAUGAACCUGUUCAUGCCAAGUGGACAACAGAACGAUGCGCUGUAUGUAGAUGGGUUGAAGAUUGGGACUAUAACAAAAUCAUCAUCUGCAAUAGAUGUCAGAUAGCUGUCCAUCAAGAAUGCUAUGGAGCAAGAAAUGUUCGGGAUUUCACUUCGUGGGUCUGCAAAGCAUGUGAAGCACCCAAAGUCAAGCAAGAAUGUUGCCUCUGUCCUGUCAAAGGAGGUGCGUUAAAGCCAACUGAUAUUGACGGAUUGUGGGUUCAUAUUACAUGUGCUUGGUUCAGACCUGAAGUCUCUUUUGCAAGUGAUGAAAAGAUGGAGCCUGCUCUUGGCAUCUUGAGUAUUCCAUCAAAUUCUUUUGUGAAGAUUUGCGUUAUUUGUAAGCAAAUUCAUGGUUCAUGCACGCAAUGUUGCAAGUGUUCCACUUAUUACCAUGCAAUGUGUGCCUCAAGGGCAGGUUAUCGCAUGGAGUUGCAUUGUUUGGAGAAAAAUGGAAAACAGACCACAAAAAUGGUUUCUUAUUGUGCUUACCACAGGGCUCCAAAUCCAGAUACGGUUUUAAUCAUACAGACUCCUCUAGGUGUGUUUUCAGCGAAAAGCCUUCUCCAAAAUAAGAAGAAGCCUGGUUCAAGGUUAAUUUCAUCUAAUAGAACAAAGCUUGAAGAGGUUUUGACAGUUGAAAUGACAGAGCCUGAGUCUGAGCCCGAGCCAUUAUCUGCUGCAAGGUGCCGGGUGUACAAUAGAUUGAAAAAUAACAAGAAGAGAGCAGAAGAAGAAACUGUUGCCCACCAUGUGAAGGGACCUUCCCAUCAUCCCUUGGAAGCAAUUCGAAGUUUGAACACAUUCAGAGUAGUAGAGGAUCCUCCAACUUUUUCGUCUUUUAGAGAACGGCUACACCAUUUACAGAGAACAGAACACGAUCGUGUUUGCUUUGGUAAAUCUGGGAUACAUGGAUGGGGUCUCUUUGCCCGUAGAGACAUACAAGAAGGAGAAAUGGUUCUUGAAUAUCGUGGUGAACAGGUGAGACGUAGUGUUGCAGAUCUUAGGGAGACACGGUAUAGAUCAGAAGGCAAAGACUGUUAUUUGUUUAAGAUCAGUGAAGAAGUGGUUGUAGAUGCCACUGAUAAAGGAAAUAUAGCACGCCUGAUCAACCAUUCGUGCAUGCCGAAUUGCUAUGCGAGGAUCAUGAGUGUGGGUGAUGAAGAAAGCCGGAUUGUACUUAUUGCAAAGGCUGAUGUAACUUGCGGCGAUGAGCUAACGUACGAUUACUUGUUCGAUCCUAACGAGCCUGACGAAUUCAAAGUCCCGUGUCUAUGUAAAGCUCCCAACUGUCGGAAAUUCAUGAAUUAGUAGGAUGAUGGAUAUAUAGGCCCUCACUUGCACAGCCAUUGUUUCUCCGCAAGGAACAACUAACCCUCCAGUCCAUCCAUAUACCAAAUUUGUAAUUUUGCCAAGAGUGUUUGACCAUCAGAACACGGCGUUUCCGGCCAAUCCAAGUACUCAGCCAUGGAGGAUCGCUGGAGACAACUCGGUAGCCUGCGUUCGAGUACAAUUGGCGAGCUCCGUAAUCAUCCUCAUAUGCCCGGAGGGCAAGAUACUCGAAACCCCAUUCGACUGAGAGCGCAUCACACGCUUUUAGCAGGACAGUAGCUAUUUUCUUCCUUCUGAAACUCUUCAAAACAGCAAUGCCGGAUACGUAAAGAUAUUCCGGUGACCUAGAUGGGAGAUGCUGAAGGACGGCCUGGUCCCUCGACGCCGUGACGUCCGCAACUCCCACAAGUUCUUGUGACUCGGAAGUUUCAGGGGUAGACUCAGCAACUAAACAAGCAUAUCUGUUGAAUUAUUAAUGAGAUACCAUAAAAACGCAUAAUUAUUACGCUAAAUAAUACUUGUAACAAUGUACAUUGCAAUUUUCAAGUAAAAUUGUUUACCUAUCUGGGGGUGAAUUCCUAAGUUUAUAUACAAGCCCAGAAAGCACUUCAGCCUGUAUUUGCAGAAACCAAA
Molecule: non-coding RNA, 4538 nt
Organism: Malus domestica (apple)
Lineage: Eukaryota; Viridiplantae; Streptophyta; Magnoliopsida; Rosales; Rosaceae
Source: RefSeq, a predicted model, not a curated record